Molecule: long non-coding RNA, 862 nt
Organism: Pseudopipra pipra
Lineage: Eukaryota; Metazoa; Chordata; Aves; Passeriformes; Pipridae
Exons: 2
Source: RefSeq, a predicted model, not a curated record
UCUGUGGCUGGGUUUUGGUAGCAGGGAGGGCUGCAGGGGUGGCUUCUGUUAGAAGCUGUUAGAAGCUCCCCCUGUCCCGUGGAGCCAAUGCCAGCCGGCUCCAGGGCAGAAUUCCUGCUGCUGGCCAAGGCCAAGCCGAUCAUGAGUAAUAGUAACACCUCUGUGAUAACAUAUUUAAGAACAGAAAGUUGUGGCGCAAGAAGAAUUCCAGUCAGGGAAGAGCGGAGUGAGAACGUGGGAACAACAAAAUGGACACCAAGAUCAAGACAACCCUGACAGUAAGAUAGGAUGGGAGGAUACCACCUGGCUCAGCGUGUGGAACUGAUAUACCAUAAAACGCAAAUUUGUGAAAAGGAAGAUCUGACGUACUCGUAAACAAGUUUACAGAGAGCAUCAUAGCCCUGGAGAAAAUAGAGGUUUUGUGGCCAUCGAAUAGCAUAAAAGCUACAUGAGACAGUUUUUGUGAUCAACAUAGAAGUUUUCUAAGCUGUCAGUGCACUGAAUAAAUGCUCCAGUGACUCUCCCUUGAGGAAUCUGUUCCCAGCAGAGCCCAGCAUCUCAGAUUUCUCCUUCACAUCCUUGAUGCAUACUAAGAAGCUAUGGCUGACAUCUGCUCUCACUGUGAUCUGGCUAACUUCUUCCUCUAACUAACAAUAUGCAUUCUCAACUUCCAAAAUGCUCCUUCCAGUGGAGCAAAGAAGAAUUUAAAUGCCUUUUGGGAGACUCUCAGGAUAGACACAUAGGGCACUGCCAUGCAUGUAUCUGACAUAUUUUAAGAAACACUUAAGCUACAUAUUUUUGUAAUAGAAGGCACAGUUUAAGAAAUAAGAUACUGAAUAAAGAUAGAGAAAUAGUGCAAAAA